UUCUUAAUUGGUGUUUAUUUCUAUGUUGUUUUGUAGGAUCCACCUCUACUGUAGAAAAGAGGAUGGAAGUCGUAAUCCGAGGCCUGAUUGAGUACAUCGGGGAGAAGCCAGAGGACUUGAUUUCAGAUCAACAGAAUCUGGAGGAAAUUGAGGACACUCAGCAGAAUAUCUCCUAUCCACUGAAGAUCGUCAAAGUCGGUGACACGUAUGAGAACAACAUUGAUGGCCUCCAAUGCAUCACAGGUUUGGGCAAUGUCGCCAAGGCCUCCUGCAUUCUUGUUGGCGAUAUAUACGCGUUGGACUUGAACUAUCCACCCAAACUUCAGCAGACAUUUCAAACUUUUCAGAUUACUGAUUGUUGCAAAGAUACUCAUGAGUGUGUCUAAAGACCAGUAGCAAUAUAAAUAAUCCAUAUUUGUCUAUCAAUCCUGUUCCUUGAUUGUUGAGUUGUAUUUUCCUCUGCAUUAUCCGCUGUUCUAGUUUAAUUGUGCCAGAGGGAGAAAAUACUGUACACUCUUGUAGAAAAAUAAUUAAAUUUUCAUUGAAUAAUAAUCAAUGAACUCAUCAAAUAAUUGAAUGUGUCAAUAAAUAAUUUAAAUAAUCAUUACAAGUAAUAAAAAAAGAAAAAUUCUAUUUAAUUUUAUGUUGUAAGUAGGUGCAGUAUGGCCACUCCUCAAACCAAACUGACUUGGGCUUUUUAUGAUCUAAUCCAUUGCUCUGCAGACGGAUCAUGAAGUUUGCGAAUAGACACUUUAAAAAAAAAAUUUGACCAGAGAAUCGCUCUGGUCUGCCUCCGAGUUUGAGGAAUGAGUUUGACAGAUGGCUGGGCUAAUAAGUUUACAUCCCCAACAUACUUUUUCAGAGAAUAUGUAUAAUAACAUACAAAUCUUUCUUUUGCUCGUGAUUAGUGAUUCUAUUAUAUAAAAAAACUGUUUACUCUUUUUAAAUCAUGACAACAGAAACUUCCCAAAUGACCCUGAUCAAAAGUUUACAUAACCCUGUACUUAAUGAGUACGUACAUCAAUGACAACCUGUAAUGUUUUGUGGUAGUUUUGGAUGAGGCUCUUGAUUUUCUCAGAUUGUAAAUCUGCUAAUUCUUCUUGGCAAAAAACCUCCAGUUCAUGUAAAACCUUGAGCUGUCUUGCAUAAACUGCACAUUUGAGAUCCCCCAUUAACACUGGAGGAUUUUUGCCUAGAAGAAUAGGCAGAUUUACCAUCUGAGAAAACCCAAGAGCCUCAUCCACAACUACCACAAAACAUUACAGGCUGUCAUUGAUGUAAAAAGGGACAAUACUCAGUAUUAAGUAACUUCACAAUAUAAAUGAGAAGGAAGGUCUAGAACAUGAUUAAAACUAAACGUCCUAAAAGAACAUUUUGCAUAACUCCUUAAAAUAUUUAUUGACACCUUAAAAUAAGUCUUGGUUUAAUUCAAUGAACAUUUACUUAUUCAAUGACAUAUAUUUCAUGUAUUUGUAAUGGUGCAUUAAAAAAUAGUGCUAAUGGAAAAUCAGCUGAAUGGUCUAUUGGUAUGUAUGGUAAAAGUAUCAAUACAAAAACAAUCCUUUAAAAAAUGUUUGCUCAUAUUUCUUUUUUUUUUUUUUUACUUAAAACUGGAGUGGUGAGGAACAAAAAUUGUACAGAGUACUUCUGUUGGAAGAAAAAUCUGAUGGAAAAAUGUUUCAAAAUGUAACAUUGACAAAUAUAUUUUUUAUAUAUAUUUACGUUUAAUUGUGUUCACAACUUUAUUAAUAUUGUGAAAAAUAAAUGUUGACAUGGAAAAGCUUCAAAAGGUUUUAUUUCAGAACACAAGCAUAUUGGUAUAAAUGUUUUAAAGUAAUGUUUUUCAGAGCUAACAUUCUUGGCAAAGAUGAUAAUCUUAGUAGGUUUUUUGUAUUCUACUAGAAAACAUGUUGGGAGAAAAUAUUAACUCAAAGAAAUGUAAUUGUUUAAUCAUAGCAAAAAAUUGCUGGGAAAAAAUGUUAUCUUAAACUAAUUUUAUAAUUUCAUUAGAACACUAACAUGUUG
Molecule: long non-coding RNA, 2025 nt
Filed under: Neogobius melanostomus (round goby)
Lineage: Eukaryota; Metazoa; Chordata; Actinopteri; Gobiiformes; Gobiidae
Description: lncRNA (ENSNMLG00000025660.1)
Source: RNAcentral